RNAcentral lists this ribosomal RNA (292 nucleotides) under uncultured bacterium. Its description in RNAcentral is "partial 16S ribosomal RNA". It matches the Rfam family "Bacterial small subunit ribosomal RNA", at positions 505 to 796 of the family's 1533-position model. The record is from RNAcentral.
GUGCCAGCAGCCGCGGUAAUACGUAGGCAGCAAGCGUUGUUCGGAGUUACUGGGCGUAAAGGGUGUGUAGGCGGUUGGAUAAGAGUGGUGUGAAAUCUCCCGGCUUAACUGGGAGGGUGCGCUACAGACUGUCUGACUAGAGUGUGGGAUGGGAGAGUGGAAUUCCUGGUGUAGCGGUGAAAUGCGUAGAUAUCAGGAGGAACACCGGUGGUGUAGACGGCUCUCUGGACCAUAACUGACGCUGAGACACGAAAGCGUGGGUAGCAAACAGGAUUAGAAACCCCUGUAGUCC